UAUAAUUCGCAAGAGAUAAUAGCACAGCAGUAGCCCGAUGAAGUAAUUCCACUCAGUUUGUAUUGAACCGGUCGUACAGGAUGAGCCAAAGACAUGAAGGGAUUGAAUGUGACGUUUGCAGCACUGGGAACUUUACCAGCAAUCGAUAUGCUUGUCUGGUAUGCGAGAACUAUGAUUUAUGUGAAAAGUGCUUCGACCGACGAUAUUCCAACUUGCAUCACAAGCCAUACCAUCCAAUGCAGAAAAUUCUAUCGGAAGUAGAUUUUUUCAAAAAACUUGAUGAAAGUGAAUCGGGCGAAGUGUACCUAUUUUGCUGCCCUUAUUGCGGUGAAAACGAAUUUACCGCUAGUGGCCUAAUAGCGCAUUGUGGCAUUUAUCAUCGCAUUGGCGGGCACCGAGUGCGAUGUCCAAUAUGCAUCCUUUACCAGAGGAAUCACGUACCACUUCUGAUCGUUACCUUACACCAACAUGCACUAAAAAUGCAUAAUGAAUACUGCACUCUAACAAACGUGACUACUAAAACUCUAGAUACACAGGAGUGUACCAUUUGUAUAGAGAAAAUACAGCCAAAUUGUGAUAUACAAUUUUUACCUUGUUCACAUACGUUUCAUUCAGAAUGUAUAAAAGCAUGGCUGCGAAAUAGUGCUACCUGUCCAGUGUGCAGAGUUGAGAUAGAUAAUAAAACUUGAGUCGAAUGAUCACAGAAA
This is a long non-coding RNA of Aedes aegypti (yellow fever mosquito), 707 nucleotides long. RefSeq lists it as uncharacterized. The record is from RefSeq and is a predicted model, not a curated record. The transcript is spliced from 2 exons. NCBI's taxonomy places the organism in Eukaryota, Metazoa, Arthropoda, Insecta, Diptera, Culicidae.